Molecule: ribosomal RNA, 439 nt
Filed under: uncultured bacterium
Lineage: Bacteria
Description: partial 16S ribosomal RNA
Rfam family: Bacterial small subunit ribosomal RNA
Source: RNAcentral
CUACGGGAGGCUGCAGUGGGGAAUUUUGCGCAAUGGGGGAAACCCUGACGCAGCAAUACCGCGUGAGUGAAGAAGGCCUUUGGGUCGUAAAGCUCUUUUCUUGGGGAAGAUAGUGACGGUACCCAAGGAAUAAGCACCGGCUAACUCCGUGCCAGCAGCCGCGGUAAUACGGAGGGUGCAAGCGUUGUUCAGAUUUACUGGGCGUAAAGGGCACGUAGGCGGCACAGCAAGUUAAGGGUGAAAUCCCGGGGCUCAACUCCGGAACUGCUCUUAAAACUGCUGAGCUAGAGAUAGUCAGAGGCGGGUGGAAUUCCAGGUGUAGAGGUGAAAUUCGUAGAUAUCUGGAGGAACACCGGUGGCGAAGGCGGCCCGCUGGGGCUAUUCUGACGCUAAGGUGCGAAAGCGUGGGGAGCAAACGGGAUUAGAUACCCUGGUAGUC